GUUGACCUCGGAUCAGGUAGGGAUACCCGCUGAACUUAAGCAUAUCAAUAAGCGGAGGAAAAGAAACCAACCGGGAUUGCCUCAGUAACGGCGAGUGAAGCGGCAACAGCUCAAAUUUGAAAUCUGGCUCCGUGCGGGGUCCGAGUUGUAAUUUGUAGAGGGUGUUUCGGGUGCGGUGCCGGUCUAAGUUCCUUGGAACAGGACGUCAUAGAGGGUGAGAAUCCCGUCUGCGAGUCGGCCACCAACCCCGGGUGAAACCCUUCGACGAGUCGAGUUGUUUGGGAAUGCAGCUCAAAAUGGGUGGUAAAUUUCAUCUAAAGCUAAAUACCGGCCAGAGACCGAUAGCGCACAAGUAGAGUGAUCGAAAGAUGAAAAGCACUUUGGAAAGAGAGUUAAAAAGUACGUGAAAUUGUUGAAAGGGAAGCGCUUGCGACCAGACCUGUACCCGGGCGAUCAUCCGCCAUUCGUGGCGGUGCACUCGCCCGGACGCAGGCCAGCAUCGGUUUGGGCGGCGGGACAAAGGGCUCGGGAAUGUAGCUCCCUCCGGGGAGCCUUAUAGCCCGGGUCGCCAUGCCGCCCGCCCGGACCGAGGACCGCGCUUCGGCUAGGAUGCUGGCGUAAUGGUCGUAAGCGACCCGUCUUGAAACACGGACCAAGGAGUCUACCAUCCAUGCGAGUGUUUGGGUGUCAAACCCAGGCGCGGAAUGAAAGUGAACGGAGGUGAGACCCCGUAAGGGCGCAUCAUCGACCGAUCCAGAUGUCUUCGGAUGGAUUUGAGUACGAGCAUGGCUGGUGGGACCCGAAAGAUGAUGAACUAUGCCUGAAUAGGGUGAAGCCAGAGGAAACUCUGGUGGAGGCUCGCAGCGGUUCUGACGUGCAAAUCGAUCGUCGAAUUUGGGUAUAGGGGCGAAAGACCAAUCGAAUC
Molecule: ribosomal RNA, 925 nt
Filed under: Psoroma hypnorum
Lineage: Eukaryota; Fungi; Ascomycota; Lecanoromycetes; Peltigerales; Pannariaceae
Description: LSU rRNA
Rfam family: Eukaryotic large subunit ribosomal RNA
Source: RNAcentral